UCCGUAGGUGAACCUGCGGAAGGAUCAUUGAAUCGAUCAAACACACACCGCGAACUCGCGUCUCGUCGUCCUCGGACAAUGGGGCAUGUCUAUGUUGUGUCGUGAUCACUCACAUCACAGCAAAUUCACAUGUGGUCGGUCGUGGGCGUGCGCUCGUCGUGCGCCCCGUCGUCCAGAUGUUCACGCCCCACUCUCGGCAUGGCCGCGCUGCUGUCUUCGUGUGUGCCUUGGGGCCCGCGUGGGGGUGGCACGUGCGAUGACCUGUGCUGAAGCUGAAACGCAGCGACUGUGACCGGUCCUGCGUCGAACCAAGAACAACUCUCAACAACGGAUAUCUUGGCUCCCGUAUCGAUGAAGAGCGCAGCGAAAUGCGAAACGUAACGUGAAUUGCAGGAUUCAGUGAAUCAUCAAAUUCUUGAACGCAAAUUGCACUCCAUCGCCUCCUGGUGGUGGAGUACGCCUGUUUCAGUGUCUGUAAAACCCCAUCACCCCCCCCCCCUAAAAAGGGGAAGGCGUGGUUUAUGGCGGUUGGGACUACUGGCUCAUCCACUGAAAUUGAGAAGGAGCGCGGGAAGCGGACGUUCGAGCGGUCUUCACGGGCGGUCUCGAAGCGGUCGCGAUCCGGCAUGACGAAGUAGCACUUUUCCGAGUGAUAUCUGAGUCCGGCCUGGCAUCGUGGACGUGCGCCGUUCUUCCUAACCAAAGCCUCCCCUAACACAGGAAAAAAUUCUCUUUACCUUGGACCUGAAAUCAGACGAGACUACCCGCUGAAUUUAAGCAUAUUAAUAAGCGGAGGAAAAGAAACUAACAAGGAUUCCCUGAGUAGCGGCGAGCGAAAAGGGAAGAGCUCAAAUUUAAAAUCUCCGACCCUUCGGCGUCGGCGAAUUGUAGUUUAGAGAGGCGUUUUCUGGUGUUGGGCCGGGCCUAAGUCCCUUGGAACAGGGCAUCAUAGAGGGUGAGAAUCCCGUAUGUGGCUCGGACUCCGACCCUUCAUGUGGCGUCCUCAAAGAGUCGGGUUGUUUGGGAAUGCAGCCCUAAAUGGGUGGUAAACUUCAUCUAAAGCUAAAUACCGGCGAGAGACCGAUAGCGAAAAAGUACCGUGAGGGAAAGAUGCAAAGAACUUUGAAAAGAGAGUUAAAAAGUGCUUGAAAUUGCUGAAAGGGAAACGCUUGAAGU
RNAcentral lists this ribosomal RNA (1176 nucleotides) under uncultured fungus. RNAcentral's name for it is "eukaryotic LSU rRNA". The stretch from base 741 to 1176 matches the Rfam family "Eukaryotic large subunit ribosomal RNA", at positions 1 to 429 of the family's 3401-position model. The record is from RNAcentral. Lineage: Eukaryota; Fungi.